CCUACGGGUGGCAGCAGUGGGGAAUAUUGGACAAUGGGCGAAAGCCUGAUCCAGCCAUGCCGCGUGUGUGAAGAAGGCCUUCGGGUUGUAAAGCACUUUCAGUGGGGAAGAAAGCCUUGGGGCUAAUACCCUCGAGGAAGGACAUCACCCACAGAAGAAGCACCGGCUAACUCCGUGCCAGCAGCCGCGGUAAUACGGAGGGUGCGAGCGUUAAUCGGAAUUACUGGGCGUAAAGCGCGCGUAGGCGGUCUGAUAAGCCGGUUGUGAAAGCCCCGGGCUCAACCUGGGAACGGCAUCCGGAACUGUCAGGCUAGAGUGCAGGAGAGGAAGGUAGAAUUCCCGGUGUAGCGGUGAAAUGCGUAGAGAUCGGGAGGAAUACCAGUGGCGAAGGCGGCCUUCUGGACUGACACUGACGCUGAGGUGCGAAAGCGUGGGUAGCAAACAGGAUUAGAUACCCGGUAGUC
Molecule: ribosomal RNA, 464 nt
Filed under: Vreelandella stevensii
Lineage: Bacteria; Pseudomonadati; Pseudomonadota; Gammaproteobacteria; Oceanospirillales; Halomonadaceae
Description: partial 16S ribosomal RNA
Rfam family: Bacterial small subunit ribosomal RNA
Source: RNAcentral